UACGUAAGGUGCAAGCGUUAAUCGGAAUUACUGGGCGUAAAGCGUGCGCAGGCGGUGCUGUAAGACAGGCGUGAAAUCCCCGGGCUUAACCUGGGAAUGGCGCUUGUGACUGCAGUGCUGGAGUGCGGCAGAGGGGGAUGGAAUUCCGCGUGUAGCAGUGAAAUGCGUAGAUAUGCGGAGGAACACCGAUGGCGAAGGCAAUCCCCUGGGCCUGCACUGACGCUCAUGCACGAAAGCGUGGGGAGCAAACAGG
Molecule: ribosomal RNA, 253 nt
Filed under: uncultured bacterium
Lineage: Bacteria
Description: partial 16S ribosomal RNA
Rfam family: Bacterial small subunit ribosomal RNA
Source: RNAcentral